UACGUAGGUGGCAAGCGUUGUCCGGAUUUAUUGGGUUUAAAGGGUGCGUAGGCGGCUUUAUAAGUCCGUGGUGAAAGCCAACAGCUCAACUGUUGAACUGCCAUGGAUACUGUAAGGCUUGAGUACAGACGAGGUAGGCGGAAUGGAUGGUGUAGCGGUGAAAUGCAUAGAUACCAUCCAGAACACCGAUUGCGUAGGCAGCUUACUAGGCUGUAACUGACGCUGAGGCACGAAAGCGUGGGGAGCGAACAGG
RNAcentral lists this ribosomal RNA (253 nucleotides) under uncultured bacterium. RNAcentral describes it as "partial 16S ribosomal RNA". It matches the Rfam family "Bacterial small subunit ribosomal RNA", at positions 524 to 776 of the family's 1533-position model. The record is from RNAcentral.